GCGGCAAGCCUAACACAUGCAAGUCGAGCGGCAGCGGGAGAAAGCUUGCUUUCUUGCCGGCGAGCGGCGGACGGGUGAGUAAGGUAUGGGGAUCUGGCCGAAGGCGGGGGAUAACCACUGGAAACGGUGGCUAAUACUGCAUAAUCUCUAAGGAGCAAAGUGGGGGACCAUUUGGCCUCACACCUUCGGAUGAACCCAUAUGAGAUUAGCUAGUAGGUGGGGUAAAGGCUCACCUAGGCGACGAUCUCUAGCUGGUCUGAGAGGAUGAUCAGCCACACUGGGACUGAGACACGGCCCAGACUCCUACGGGAGGCAGCAGUGGGGAAUAUUGCACAAUGGGCGCAAGCCUGAUGCAGCCAUGCCGCGUGUAUGAAGAAGGCCUUCGGGUUGUAAAGUACUUUCAGUCGUGAGGAAGGUGUUAAGGUUAAUAGUCUUAGCAAUUGACGUUAGCGACAGAAGAAGCACCGGCUAACUCCGUGCCAGCAGCCGCGGUAAUACGGAGGGUGCGAGCGUUAAUCGGAAUUACUGGGCGUAAAGGGCACGCAGGCGGUUAAUUAAGUUGGAUGUGAAAUCCCCGGGCUUAACCUGGGAAUGGCAUUCAAGACUGGUUAGCUAGAGUCUUGUAGAGGGGGGUAGAAUUCCAUGUGUAGCGGUGAAAUGCGUAGAGAUGUGGAGGAAUACCGGUGGCGAAGGCGGCCCCCUGGACAAAGACUGACGCUCAUGUGCGAAAGCGUGGGGAGCAGACAGGAUUAGAUACCCUGGUAGUCCACGCUGUAAACGAUGUCGAUUUGGAGGUUGUGGUCCUGAACUGUGGCCUCCGGAGCUAACGCGUUAAAUCGACCGCCUGGGGAGUACGGCCGCAAGGUUAAAACUCAAAUGAAUUGACGGGGGCCCGCACAAGCGGUGGAGCAUGUGGUUUAAUUCGAUGCAACGCGAAGAACCUUACCUACUCUUGACAUCCAGCGAAGCCUUUAGAGAUAGAGGCGUGCCUUCGGGAGCGCUGAGANCAGGUGCUGCAUGGCUGUCGUCAGCUCGUGUUGAGAAAUGUUGGGUUAA
RNAcentral lists this ribosomal RNA (1056 nucleotides) under Arsenophonus symbiont of Ornithomya avicularia. RNAcentral's name for it is "bacterial SSU rRNA". It matches the Rfam family "Bacterial small subunit ribosomal RNA", at positions 39 to 1083 of the family's 1533-position model. The record is from RNAcentral. Lineage: Bacteria; Pseudomonadati; Pseudomonadota; Gammaproteobacteria; Enterobacterales; Morganellaceae.